Molecule: ribosomal RNA, 417 nt
Filed under: uncultured bacterium
Lineage: Bacteria
Description: bacterial SSU rRNA
Rfam family: Bacterial small subunit ribosomal RNA
Source: RNAcentral
CAAGUCGAACGUUUGACUUCGGUCAGGCGUGGCGGACGGGUGAGUAACACGUGGGAACCUGCCCAGAGGUACGGGAUAACCCAGGGAAACUUGGGACAAUACCGUAUGUGACCUGAGGGUGAAAGAUUUAUCGCCUUUGGAUGGGCCCGCGUCGGAUUAGGUAGUUGGUGGGGUAAAGGCCUACCAAGCCGACGAUCCUAGCUGGUCUGAGAGGAUGAUCAGCCACACUGGGACUGAGACACGGCCCAGACUCCUACGGGAGGCAGCAGUGGGGAAUAUUGGACAAUGGGCGCAAGCCUGAUCCAGCAAUGCCGCGUGAGUGAUGAAGGCCUUAGGGUUGUAAAGCUCUUUCGCACGCGACGAUGAUGACGGUAGCGUGAGAAGAAGCCCCGGCUAACUUCGUGCCAGCAGCCGCGG